This 468-nucleotide ribosomal RNA is filed under the name uncultured bacterium. RNAcentral describes it as "partial 16S ribosomal RNA". It matches the Rfam family "Bacterial small subunit ribosomal RNA", at positions 28 to 507 of the family's 1533-position model. The record is from RNAcentral.
GACGAACGCUGGCGGCGUGCUUAACACAUGCAAGUCGAACGGAAAGGCCCUGCUUUUGUGGGGUGCUCGAGUGGCGAACGGGUGAGUAACACGUGAGUAACCUGCCCUUGACUUUGGGAUAACUUCAGGAAACUGGGGCUAAUACCGGAUAGGAGCUCCUGCUGCAUGGUGGGGGUUGGAAAGUUUCGGCGGUUGGGGAUGGGCUCGCGGCUUAUCAGCUUGUUGGUGGGGUAGUGGCUUACCAAGGCUUUGACGGGUAGCCGGCCUGAGAGGGUGACCGGCCACAUUGGGACUGAGAUACGGCCCAGACUCCUACGGGAGGCAGCAGUGGGGAAUAUUGCACAAUGGGCGGAAGCCUGAUGCAGCAACGCCGCGUGCGGGAUGACGGCCUUCGGGUUGUAAACCGCUUUCGCCUGCGACGAAGCGUGAGUGACGGUAAUGGGUAAAGAAGCACCGGCUAACUACGUG